This 263-nucleotide non-coding RNA is filed under the name Limosilactobacillus panis. RNAcentral's name for it is "Lactobacillus panis T-box sequence". It matches the Rfam family "T-box leader". From Rfam's summary of the family: Uncharged tRNA acts as the effector for transcription antitermination of genes in the T-box leader family. T-boxes are found upstream of many aminoacyl-tRNA synthetase genes and some amino acid biosynthetic genes usually in Gram-positive bacteria. The record is from RNAcentral. Lineage: Bacteria; Bacillati; Bacillota; Bacilli; Lactobacillales; Lactobacillaceae.
UCAAAAGCAAUGAGGAAGAAGAGUAAAAUGCCGCAUUCGUAAAGUGAGCUGGUGAUAGUGAGAGACCGGCCGACCCUGGACGUUUGAAAAACACUUUCUCGCAGUGCCGCUGACCCAAAUAAUCAUCACGAUUAAAGUAGGCUCAGCCGUCCCCGGUACGUUACCACACCGGUAGAACGUGAUUGCGUUCGAAAAGCGGUCUAAGAAUUACGAUUCUUAGGCAACUUGGGUGGUACCGCGGAAUAAAGCCUUUCGUCCCUUCG